This 503-nucleotide ribosomal RNA is filed under the name uncultured Polaribacter sp. RNAcentral describes it as "bacterial SSU rRNA". It matches the Rfam family "Bacterial small subunit ribosomal RNA", at positions 72 to 573 of the family's 1533-position model. The record is from RNAcentral. Lineage: Bacteria; Pseudomonadati; Bacteroidota; Flavobacteriia; Flavobacteriales; Flavobacteriaceae.
CAUUGUGCUUGCACAGAUGACGACCGGCGCACGGGUGCGUAACGCGUAUAGAACCUACCUUUUACAGAGGAAUAGCCUUUAGAAAUGAAGAUUAAUGCCUCAUAGUAUUGUAGACUGGCAUCAGUUUAUAAUUAAAGAUUUAUCGGUAAAAGAUGGCUAUGCGUCCUAUUAGUUAGUUGGUAAGGUAACGGCUUACCAAGACAGCGAUAGGUAGGGGUCCUGAGAGGGAGAUCCCCCACACUGGUACUGAGACACGGACCAGACUCCUACGGGAGGCAGCAGUGAGGAAUAUUGGACAAUGGAGGAGACUCUGAUCCAGCCAUGCCGCGUGUAGGAAGAAUGCCCUAUGGGUUGUAAACUACUUUUAUACAGGAAGAAACACUGGUAUGUAUACCAGCUUGACGGUACUGUAAGAAUAAGGACCGGCUAACUCCGUGCCAGCAGCCGCGGUAAUACGGAGGGUCCGAGCGUUAUCCGGAAUCAUUGGGUUUAAAGGGUCCGCA